UACGGGGGGGGCAAGCGUUGUUCGGAAUUACUGGGCGUAAAGGGCUCGUAGGUGGCCAACUAAGUCAGACGUGAAAUCCCUCGGCUUAACCGGGGAACUGCGUCUGAUACUGGAUGGCUUGAAUUCGGGAGAGGGAUGCGGAAUUCCAGGUGUAGCGGUGAAAUGCGUAGAUAUCUGGAGGAACACCGGUGGCGAAGGCGGCGAUCCUGGACCGAGAUUGACGCUGAUGCGCGAAAGCCAGGGGAGCAAACGGGG
Molecule: ribosomal RNA, 255 nt
Filed under: uncultured bacterium
Lineage: Bacteria
Description: partial 16S ribosomal RNA
Rfam family: Bacterial small subunit ribosomal RNA
Source: RNAcentral